Molecule: long non-coding RNA, 626 nt
Organism: Antechinus flavipes (yellow-footed antechinus)
Lineage: Eukaryota; Metazoa; Chordata; Mammalia; Dasyuromorphia; Dasyuridae
Exons: 4
Source: RefSeq, a predicted model, not a curated record
ACCAAAACAAACAGACUUGAGAAAUAUAACGGAUAUUAUGGUACAUAUUAUACCUUAUGUGGAAAAAUUUUUUGACUUUGAUUUUACAUACCUUAUAUUCAUUAAAACACAGCAAGCAACAGGAAGACAGAACUUCUCUGUCUCCUGAAUCUACACCAACUGUAUAUGGUGGAAGAUCAUACCUGUGUCAAGAUUUGACUUACAACCGACCAUCUGUGCAAUCCUGCACAAGGAACUGGAGAGUUCCUCCUUCAAAUCCUUUACUUCCUUCCAUAAGUAGUAUCAGAAGGAAUGAGCAAACCAAGUACUUCACAGGGAACUUCUGGUGUGAAAACACCCUCUAUACAAGCAGAUAAGAAAUUGGGCCUCAAAAAAAGUCAUUCUUUAAAUAACAAUAAGAAUAGUCUACAAUUCAAGAGAACUGAUCCACAAACAUCUUUGGAAAACUUGUUCACACUCUCUUUUCCAAAAUCUGAACCGUGGGAGGAAGAUGAAGACAAGACUCAUCAGAAACUGGACAGAUUCUCUGUCUCCUGUAUAAUUCUAUUGCUCUUAAUUUUAACAUUUUUCAUUUUUGUCAUUAUUGUUAUGACAUAUUUAUAUUAAACAUAUGAUUUAUACUCAUA